Oryza barthii is the source of this 203-nucleotide non-coding RNA. The record is from Rfam. Lineage: Eukaryota; Viridiplantae; Streptophyta; Magnoliopsida; Poales; Poaceae.
GGUAAUUACUUUCUCCGUUCCAUUUUAAGCGUAGUCAUGAGUUUUAUUUGAAAUUUUUUUUAUGAUUAGUUUUUUUAUUGUUAUUAGAUGAUAAAACAAAAUUAAUAUUUUAUAUGUGACUGAUGUUUUUUAUUUUUUUCAAACAAUUUUCAAACAACGCGUAUAAUUAAAGUUGAACACAGAAGCUCGUGACUGCGUUUAAA